AAUUGCAAAAUGGUAAAUAUUUACUUAGAGCCUCAAGUUGUUUAUCUUCCUUAAUGUCAUAUUUAAAUAAGAAAAUAUUAUCAUAGAAACCUUUCCAAACC
This is a non-coding RNA of Hydra vulgaris (swiftwater hydra), 101 nucleotides long. NCBI's taxonomy places the organism in Eukaryota, Metazoa, Cnidaria, Hydrozoa, Anthoathecata, Hydridae. The record is from RefSeq and is a predicted model, not a curated record.